GGGGCUAUAGCUCAGCUGGGAGAGCGCCUGCCAUGCACGCAGGAGGUCAGCGGUUCGAUCCCGCUUAGCUCCA
Molecule: transfer RNA, 73 nt
Filed under: Proteus penneri
Lineage: Bacteria; Pseudomonadati; Pseudomonadota; Gammaproteobacteria; Enterobacterales; Morganellaceae
Description: tRNA-Ala
Rfam family: tRNA
About the family: Transfer RNA (tRNA) molecules are approximately 80 nucleotides in length. Their secondary structure includes four short double-helical elements and three loops (D, anti-codon, and T loops).
Source: RNAcentral